AGGAUCCAGGAUCCUUUUAACCAUGGACUCCGUAUCUGUGAAUCAAAUUUUG
This 52-nucleotide unclassified non-coding RNA is filed under the name Phocine morbillivirus. RNAcentral's name for it is "partial L". Lineage: Riboviria; Orthornavirae; Negarnaviricota; Monjiviricetes; Mononegavirales; Paramyxoviridae. The record is from RNAcentral.